Molecule: ribosomal RNA, 497 nt
Filed under: uncultured bacterium
Lineage: Bacteria
Description: partial 16S ribosomal RNA
Rfam family: Bacterial small subunit ribosomal RNA
Source: RNAcentral
GACGAACGCUGGCGGCGUGCCUAAUACAUGCAAGUCGAGCGGACAGGUCAGGCUCUUGCGCCUCUCUCGUUUGCCGCGGACGGGUGUGUAACGCGUGUAUCCCCUCCCUAUCAUACUGAUAUCUCUUCGAGACACCGGCUAUAAUACCGUAUGAUAUACUGCAGCGUGUGGUUCAAUGGUAAGAUUCGGUUGUUCUGUCUCUUCUCGCUGGAUCUGGGCCGCAGUAGCUAGUUGGUAAGGUACCGGCUUACCAAGGGAAGGAUGCGUGUCCGACCUGAGAGGGGGAUCGCCCGCCUGGGAACUUAGACACGGUCCAGACUCCUACGGUAGGCAGCAGUAGGGAAUCUGCCGCAAUGGGCGAAAGCCUGACGGAGCAACGGCGCGUGAGUGAUGACGGUCUCCGGAUCGUAAAACUCGCCUAUUGGUGAAGAACAAAUGUGUAAGUAACUAUGCACGUCUUGACGGUACCGAAUCAGAAAGCCACGGCUAACUACGUG